RNAcentral lists this ribosomal RNA (475 nucleotides) under uncultured bacterium. RNAcentral describes it as "bacterial SSU rRNA". It matches the Rfam family "Bacterial small subunit ribosomal RNA", at positions 28 to 507 of the family's 1533-position model. The record is from RNAcentral.
GAUGAACGCUAGCGGCAGGCCUAAUACAUGCAAGUCGAACGGUGUCUUCGGACAUAGUGGCGCACGGGUGCGUAACACGUAUGCAACCUACCUUACAUUGGGGGAUAGCCUUUCGAAAGGGAGAUUAAUACCGCAUAAGACAGUAGCUGGGCAUCCAGCAGCUGUUAAAGAUUUAUCGAUGUAAGAUGGGCAUGCGUCCAAUUAGUUAGUUGGCGAGGUAACGGCUUACCAAGACUUUGAUUGGUAGGGGAACUGAGAGGUCAAUCCCCCACACUGGCACUGAGAUACGGGCCAGACUCCUACGGGAGGCAGCAGUGGGGAAUUUUGGACAAUGGACGCAAGUCUGAUCCAGCCAUUCCGCGUGCAGGAUGAAGGCCCUCGGGUCGUAAACUGCUUUUGUACGGAACGAAAAGGUUUCCAUUAAUACUGGGAGCUCAUGACGGUACCGUAAGAAUAAGCACCGGCUAACUACGUG